This 501-nucleotide ribosomal RNA is filed under the name uncultured bacterium. Its description in RNAcentral is "partial 16S ribosomal RNA". It matches the Rfam family "Bacterial small subunit ribosomal RNA", at positions 30 to 523 of the family's 1533-position model. The record is from RNAcentral.
AUUGAACGCUGGCGGCAGGCUUAACACAUGCAAGUCGAGCGGGGGAAGGUAGCUUGCUACCGGACCUAGCGGCGGACGGGUGAGUAAUGCUUAGGAAUCUGCCUAUUAGUGGGGGACAACAUCUCGAACGGGAUGCUGAUACCGCAUACGUCCUACGGGAGAAAGCAGGGGAUCUUCGGACCUUGCGCUAAUAGAUGCGCCUAAGUCGGAUUAGCUAGUUGGUGGGGUAAAGGCCUACCAAGGCGACGAUCUGUCGCGGGUCUGAGAGGAUGAUCCGCCACACUGGGACUGAGACACGGCCCAGACGCCUACGGGAGGCAGCAGUGGGGAAUAUUGGACAAUGGGGGGAACCCUGAUCCAGCCAUGCCGCGUGUGUGAAGAAGGCCUUAUGGUUGUAAAGCACUUUAAGCGAGGAGGAGGCUACUCUAGUUAAUACCUAGGGAUAGUGGACGUUACUCGCAGAAUAAGCACCGGCUAACUCUGUGCCAGCCGCCGCGGUAA